This 87-nucleotide transfer RNA is filed under the name Hydrogenobacter subterraneus. Its description in RNAcentral is "tRNA-Leu". It matches the Rfam family "tRNA". From Rfam's summary of the family: Transfer RNA (tRNA) molecules are approximately 80 nucleotides in length. Their secondary structure includes four short double-helical elements and three loops (D, anti-codon, and T loops). The record is from RNAcentral. Lineage: Bacteria; Pseudomonadati; Aquificota; Aquificia; Aquificales; Aquificaceae. RNAcentral also lists the same sequence under 5 other names.
GCCGGAGUGGCGGAACUGGCAGACGCAGGGGAUUCAAAAUCCCCCGCCCGCAAGGGCGUGCGGGUUCGACUCCCGCCUCCGGCACCA